CCUACGGGGGGCAGCAGUGGGGAAUAUUGGACAAUGGGGGCAACCCUGAUCCAGCCAUGCCGCGUGUGUGAAGAAGGCCCUCGGGUUGUAAAGCACUUUCAGUGAGGAAGAACGCCUGGUGGUUAAUACCCAUCAGGAAAGACAUCACUCACAGAAGAAGCACCGGCUAACUCCGUGCCAGCAGCCGCGGUAAUACGGAGGGUGCGAGCGUUAAUCGGAAUUACUGGGCGUAAAGCGCGCGUAGGUGGCUUGAUAAGCCGGUUGUGAAAGCCCCGGGCUCAACCUGGGAACGGCAUCCGGAACUGUCAAGCUAGAGUGCAGGAGAGGAAGGUAGAAUUCCUGGUGUAGCGGUGAAAUGCGUAGAGAUCGGGAGGAAUACCAGUGGCGAAGGCGGCCUUCUGGACUGAAACUGACACUGAGGUGCGAAAGCGUGGGUAGCAAACAGGAUUAGAUACCCUAGUAGUC
This 465-nucleotide ribosomal RNA is filed under the name Vreelandella stevensii. Its description in RNAcentral is "partial 16S ribosomal RNA". It matches the Rfam family "Bacterial small subunit ribosomal RNA", at positions 338 to 795 of the family's 1533-position model. Lineage: Bacteria; Pseudomonadati; Pseudomonadota; Gammaproteobacteria; Oceanospirillales; Halomonadaceae. The record is from RNAcentral.